This 352-nucleotide long non-coding RNA is filed under the name Citrus sinensis (sweet orange). Its description in RNAcentral is "long non-coding RNA (CSIN_LNC003266)". Lineage: Eukaryota; Viridiplantae; Streptophyta; Magnoliopsida; Sapindales; Rutaceae. The record is from RNAcentral.
AAGUGAAUACAGCCUGCUGCCUCGUCUGGCCACGUGGCAGAAAUCCGAGGACGCGGCGGAUAAAAUUAUGUACAUCAUCGAGUGCGAGAUGAGAGGGUGCCGGUACACUCUCGGCUUAGGCGAGCCAAACCUCGCCGGGAAACCAAACCUCGAAUACGACGCCGUUUGCAAACCACACGAGCUCCACUCUCUGAAAAAGAACCCCUACGAUCACCAAAUAAACAAUCACGAGAAUCAGACUCUCUACACAGCACACCAAAUCCUCGAAUCGUGGAUCUUCACAACGCAGCAGCUCCUAAAACGCAUCGUUUCCAGGAUAGAGAGUAAGCAAUUCGAAGAAGCGUCAAACGAC